RNAcentral lists this long non-coding RNA (729 nucleotides) under Helianthus annuus (common sunflower). Lineage: Eukaryota; Viridiplantae; Streptophyta; Magnoliopsida; Asterales; Asteraceae. The record is from RNAcentral.
UUUCUAUUCUCUCUGUCAACACUCAACAGUUGUUUCUUAGCCUUCCCAAAUCGAAAAUCGUCUGAGUUUGCUCCACGAUUUCACCGAGUUCGCACUCUACUCUUCAACCGUUGACCGGUGUGCACCGUCGCCGGUACAAUUCGUCAUUGCAAUCGAGUAAUCCGUCAAGUGUAUUCUCAUAACAGGUUUUAUCACUCACACUUUGGGGAGAACUGAAAGCCAAGCACCUCACGCUUGAAAGUUUAUCGCAAGUGCAAGGGAAACUUCUGAUGGAGUGUAAGAAGUUGAUAUUGGCUCAACAAAAUGGGCUCCUUCUCAAGGUCUAAAAAUUGCUACAGAAUCUCAGGUUGCAUGGGCUAAUCACUUGAACCAAACAUAAAUGGAGAAAUCCUGAUUGGCUAACCAGUUGCAGUGCGCAAAUGCCAAAUCCCAAAUCUCAAGCUGCUGAUUCAUUGGUAAGAAGAUCACCGCUUGAUUCCAUAUCACCAAGGAAGCGAUUAGCUCUUACAAUAACACAGUUUGAAGCUAGACGACCAUUGGUGGGUGCAAAUGUAGAUGGAUGAACAUGUUCAGUUCAAGAGAGGAUUAUUAUCAAGGGAUGAUCCGAACAAGAUUUAUAAAAGUAUGUAAAAGGUUAAUGGCAUUUGUAUUGUCAUAGGUUUUACAUGCUUAAUGUUUAGUGUUAUUUAACUUUCCCGCCGCAACACGGAUGGACUUUCGUCUAUCGUU